RNAcentral lists this ribosomal RNA (477 nucleotides) under uncultured bacterium. RNAcentral describes it as "bacterial SSU rRNA". It matches the Rfam family "Bacterial small subunit ribosomal RNA", at positions 365 to 832 of the family's 1533-position model. The record is from RNAcentral.
UUCGCAAUGCCCGAAAGGGUGACGAAGCGACGCCGCGUGUGGGAAGAAGGCCUUCGGGUUGUAAACCACUGUCGGGAGUUAAGAAAUGCAAGGAUAUUAAUAGUGUCUUUGUUUGACUAAGGCUCCGGAGGAAGCCACGGCUAACUCUGUGCCAGCAGCCGCGGUAAUACAGAGGCGGCAAGCGUUGUUCGGAAUUAUUGGGCGUAAAGAGCACGUAGGCGGCUGUGUAAGUCGGUUGUGAAAGCCUUCCGCUCAACGGAAGAACGGCAUCCGAUACUGCAUGGCUUGAGUGUGGGAGGGGAGAGUGGAACUUCUGGUGGAGCGGUGAAAUGCGUAGAUAUCAGAAGGAACACCGGCGGCGAAGGCGACUCUCUGGUCCGUAACUGACGCUGAGUGUGCGAAAGCUAGGGGAGCAAACGGGAUUAGAUACCCCGGUAGUCCUAGCCGUAAACGAUGGGCACUAAGUAGAGGGGUUUU